AGUAUCCGCACCCCUGUGAAAAUGCCCUACAGUUCUCUGCUUGAGAACAAGGAGCCGGUAUCAGGCACAACCAACUCAGCCCAUGACGCCUUGCUUAGCCACACCCCCAAGGGAACUCAGCAGUGAUAAACAUUAAGCCAUAAGUGAAAACUUGACUUAGUUAAAGCUAAAAGAGUCGGUAAAACUCGUGCCAGCCACCGCGGUUAUACGAGAGACCCAAGUUGAUAAUCCACGGCGUAAAGAGUGGUUAAGGAAAAACUACAAACUAAAGCCGAACACUUUCAGGGCUGUUAUACGCAUUUGAAAGCAAGAAGCUCAACUACGAAAGUGGCUUUACACCACCUGAACCCACGAAAGCUAUGAAACAAACUGGGAUUAGAUACCCCACUAUGCCUAGCCCUAAACAUUGAUAGCACCCUACACCCGCUAUCCGCCCGGGUACUACGAGCAUCAGCUUAAAACCCAAAGGACUUGGCGGUGCUUAAGAUCCACCUAGAGGAGCCUGUUCUAGAACCGAUAACCCCCGUUCAACCUCACCCUCCCUUGUCUUUUCCGCCUAUAUACCGCCGUCGUCAGCUUACCCUAUGAAGGACUAAUAGUAAGCAAAAUUGGUAAAACCUAAAACGUCAGGUCGAGGUGUAGCGCAUGAGAGGGGAAGAAAUGGGCUACAUUCACUAACGUAGUGAACACGAACGAUGCACUGAAACGUACAUCCGAAGGAGGAUUUAGCAGUAAGCAGAAAAUAGAGCGUCCUGCUGAAACUGGCCCUAAAGCGCGCACACACCGCCCGUCACCCUCUCCUAACCCAAAACCACCAAUAAUUAAUAUCAAAUAUUCGUUAAGGGGAGGCAAGUC
RNAcentral lists this non-coding RNA (855 nucleotides) under Channa micropeltes (giant snakehead). Its description in RNAcentral is "partial 12S ribosomal RNA". It matches the Rfam family "Bacterial small subunit ribosomal RNA", at positions 173 to 1487 of the family's 1533-position model. The record is from RNAcentral. Lineage: Eukaryota; Metazoa; Chordata; Actinopteri; Anabantiformes; Channidae.